AUGCCACGACUUUACCCACGACAAAGAGAACAGACAAUAUGACGUUUUAAUGCUGUACAGCGCCCUCAAGUCGUUGCAAAUGCAUUUAACUGCAAUGUACGCAUCAUCCAACGUCUCCGUGAACUCCACAAUGUAACAAACAGUUCAAAUGACCGUCCACGUGCUCAACGCUAAUGGUGACCUGAAUUAAUUAAAUCUGUGAUAUGGUGGUGAAAAACUGUAUCAAUGAACAGUGAACGAACUGAAAUGAUGUGAAUUUGUGAAAUAACAAGGGUAUUUAUAC
RNAcentral lists this long non-coding RNA (283 nucleotides) under Mytilus galloprovincialis (Mediterranean mussel). The record is from RNAcentral. Lineage: Eukaryota; Metazoa; Mollusca; Bivalvia; Mytilida; Mytilidae.